GCCUUCGUGGUGUAAUGGCUAGCAUGCUUGGCGCGUAUUCGAGAGGUCCGUGGUUCGAGUCCCGGCGAGGGCA
RNAcentral lists this transfer RNA (73 nucleotides) under Stegodyphus mimosarum. It matches the Rfam family "tRNA". From Rfam's summary of the family: Transfer RNA (tRNA) molecules are approximately 80 nucleotides in length. Their secondary structure includes four short double-helical elements and three loops (D, anti-codon, and T loops). Further hydrogen bonds mediate the characteristic L-shaped molecular structure. tRNAs have two regions of fundamental functional importance: the anti-codon, which is responsible for specific mRNA codon recognition, and the 3' end, to which the tRNAs corresponding amino acid is attached (by aminoacyl-tRNA synthetases). tRNAs cope with the degeneracy of the genetic code in two manners: having more than one tRNA (with a specific anti-codon) for a particular amino acid; and 'wobble' base-pairing, i.e. permitting non-standard base-pairing at the 3rd anti-codon position. The record is from Rfam by way of RNAcentral. Lineage: Eukaryota; Metazoa; Arthropoda; Arachnida; Araneae; Eresidae.